CACACACACACACACACGUUUCCAUAGAGAGAGGUUCCACUUUGCAUUAGCAGCUCAUGCUUCAGCGCUCUGCGAGUGUUUAUAGCCCUGUGACUUUAACACUUCAUGACUGAGAGCUGCUGCUCAGCGACUUCACCCACAGCAACCAUGAGUUUGAUCAGCGUCUUCAUCUGCACACUGGCCCUCUGCGCUCGAGGAUCCAGAGGUCAGGUGACUGUGACUCAGAGUCCUGCAGUGAAAUCUGUUUCUCCAGGAGACACACUCACCAUCAGCUGUAAAACCAGUCCUGCUGUUUACUCUAUUGGUAGUACUUAUUUUUUGUCCUGGUAUCAGCAGAAAGCUGGAGAAGCUCCUAAAGUCCUGAUCUACAGGGCUAGCAGUAGAGAAUCAGGUAUUCCAGCUCGUUUCAGUGGCAGUGGAUCUGGAUCUGAUUUCACUCUGACCAUCAGUGGAGUCCAGGCUGAAGAUGCUGGAGAUUAUUACUGUCAGAGUGUACAUUCUAUCAGUAGUAGCUAUGUGUUCACACAGUGUUAGAGCGUCGUACAAAAACCUGGGUGAGUGUGACUGCUGCAGCUGGGACCUACUGCAGGUGCUGAGGGGGACGAUGUGAUACAGCACAAUGACACACACAGUGGAGCAGAACACACACUCACACACACACUCACACACUCACAACUCUAUACAUAUAUGUCUGUGUAUGCACACACACUACACAGACAACACAAUGCACUCACUACUCCACACACAAACACACUACUAUUACUACUACUACACACACACACACACACACACACACACACCCCUAUGAUAGAAAAAGUCCUCAUUUCUCCACUACAGGAUAAAUUUGAUAAACAUUAAUUUACAGUAAGUUUAUAUUAUGAAGCAGGCUUUGCUGAAACAUACAGCAAAACAUGUGUGUCAUCAGCCUAGCAGUGGAAGCUAACAGCAUGUUAAUGAAUCAUUUUACCCAGAGGUAGCAUGCUUAGGGAAAAAGCAAUUCAAUUCAAUUCACUUCAAUUCUAUUCAAUUAAAUUCAUCUGUAUUGCCAUUGUAUCAAAACAAUUUACAAAGUAUAAUAAAACAGUCAUUUUACCUCUCUGGUGCAAGACAAUAGACAAAGACAGUAGACAAAAGACAGACAAUAGGUGCAGAGUUAGUGAAUACAUGAUACACUACAUGGCUAACAGUAUGUGGACACCUGACCAUCACAGACCUAUGUGGGCCUUCUCCAAACUGUUGCCACAAAGUUGGAAGCACAUACUGUAAUUAGAUAAGAUGUCUUUGUAUGCUGUAACAUUAAGUUUUCCCUUCACUGCAACUAAGGGGCCAAAACCUCCCCGAAACCUCACCACAGUGCCCCUGUGUGUAAAGUAAGGUUCAUAAAGACAUGAUUUGCAAAGGUUGGAUUGAAAGAAGUUGAGUGGCCUGCACAGAGCCCUGACCUCAACCCCACUGAACACCUUUGAGAUGAAUUGGAACACAAAUUGUGCCCCAGGCCUCCUCACCUGACAUCAGUACGUGACCUCACUAAUGCUCUUGUGGUUGAAUGGGCUAAUCCCCACAGCCAUGCUCCAAAAUCUAGUAGAAAGCCCUUCCAGAAGAGUGGAGGUUAUUAUAACAGCAAAGUGGGGACUAAAUAUAUAAUAGGAUGUUUAACAAGCACGUAUGGGUGUGAUCGGUGAAGUGUCCACGUACUUUUGUCCAUAUAGUGUAUGUGCAAUGAACAGUAACUGUAGGUCUAAUGUAGAAGAGGUAGAUUUUUAAAGUGCAAAUUAUGUUUAAGCAAAAAA
Non-coding RNA from Pangasianodon hypophthalmus (striped catfish), 1790 nucleotides. Lineage: Eukaryota; Metazoa; Chordata; Actinopteri; Siluriformes; Pangasiidae. The record is from the annotation of a RefSeq genome assembly.